GGCUGGGUGGUCAAAUUUAACCCGCCGAAAGUGGUCAAUUUUAAGUCGCCGUUGACAGAGCAAACGACUGAAAAUCGUUGGGUCGCCGGUUCAAGUCCGGCCCUGGCCACCA
This 112-nucleotide transfer RNA is filed under the name Deinococcus metalli. Its description in RNAcentral is "tRNA-Phe". Lineage: Bacteria; Thermotogati; Deinococcota; Deinococci; Deinococcales; Deinococcaceae. The record is from RNAcentral.